GCGAACGCUAGCGGCGGGCCUAACACAUGCAAGUCGAGCGCAUACCUUCGGGUAUGAGCGGCGGACGGGUGAGUAACACGUAGGUAAUCUGCCCUGUGGUGGGGGAUAACCCGGGGAAACCCGGGCUAAUACCGCAUAUGGCCUUCGGUCAAAGCCUUCGGGCGCCAGAGGAUGAGCCUGCGUCGCAUUACCUAGUUGGUGGGGUAAAGGCCUACCAAGGGGACGGAUGCGUAGCUGGUCUGAGAGGAUGAUCAGCCACACUGGGACUGAGACACGGCCCAGACUCCUACGGGAGGCAGCAGUGGGGAAUAUUGCGCAAUGGGCGAAAGCCUGACGCAGCUACGCCGCGUGGGUGAUGAAGGCCUUCGGGUUGUAAAGCCCUGUCGGGAGGGACGGAAGUUCUGACGGUACCUCCCAAGAAAGCACCGGCUAACUCCGUGCCAGCAGCCGCGGUAAUU
Molecule: ribosomal RNA, 458 nt
Filed under: uncultured bacterium
Lineage: Bacteria
Description: bacterial SSU rRNA
Rfam family: Bacterial small subunit ribosomal RNA
Source: RNAcentral